Molecule: ribosomal RNA, 497 nt
Filed under: uncultured bacterium
Lineage: Bacteria
Description: partial 16S ribosomal RNA
Rfam family: Bacterial small subunit ribosomal RNA
Source: RNAcentral
GAUGAACGCUGGCGGCGUGCCUAAUACAUGCAAGUCGAGCGAACAGACGAGGAGCUUGCUCCUCUGACGUUAGCGGCGGACGGGUGAGUAACACGUGGAUAACCUACCUAUAAGACUGGGAUAACUUCGGGAAACCGGAGCUAAUACCGGAUAAUAUAUUGAACCGCAUGGUUCAAUAGUGAAAGACGGUUUUGCUGUCACUUAUAGAUGGAUCCGCGCCGCAUUAGCUAGUUGGUAAGGUAACGGCUUACCAAGGCGACGAUGCGUAGCCGACCUGAGAGGGUGAUCGGCCACACUGGAACUGAGACACGGUCCAGACUCCUACGGGAGGCAGCAGUAGGGAAUCUUCCGCAAUGGGCGAAAGCCUGACGGAGCAACGCCGCGUGAGUGAUGAAGGUCUUCGGAUCGUAAAACUCUGUUAUUAGGGAAGAACAAAUGUGUAAGUAACUAUGCACGUCUUGACGGUACCUAAUCAGAAAACCACGGCUAACUACGUG